RNAcentral lists this ribosomal RNA (253 nucleotides) under uncultured bacterium. RNAcentral describes it as "partial 16S ribosomal RNA". It matches the Rfam family "Bacterial small subunit ribosomal RNA", at positions 524 to 776 of the family's 1533-position model. The record is from RNAcentral.
UACGGAGGAUGCAAGCGUUAUCCGGAAUCAUUGGGCGUAAAGCGUCCGCAGGUGGUUAUUCAAGUCUGCUGUCAAAGCCCGGGGCUUAACCCUGGAGAGGCAGUGGAAACUGAAUGGCUAGAGUAUGGUAGGGGUAGAGGGAAUUCCAGGUGUAGCGGUGAAAUGCGUAGAUAUCUGGAAGAACACCAGUGGCGAAGGCGCUCUACUGGGCCAUAACUGACACUGAGGGACGAAAGCUAGGGGAGCGAAAGGG